CUGAACAGAAUUCAGACUAAGGUUAAUCCCACCUGUCUCUUAAUGGAUGAGAUUUUUAUAUUAGUUGGAUGAAUGCCAUAGACUCUUUAUUAUGUGGUGUGAUACUAUUUUAAAAUAUUAACAUUUCCUUUUGUUUCAGAAAUGUUCUGAUAACCCACUCUUUUUGCAUUUAGGGAGAUAAGAGGGGAGAGUGCCUAUGUGCACUGCUCUCAAAGUGUGGUUGUUACAUAGAAAAGCGGAGAAAAAGUAGAAGGUAAUUUGGAUUUUGACCUUCAAAAGGUCUAAACAAAAGGAGCUAAAUAAGCACUGGCCUAGAAAUCAGCGAUAUCAAAACAAUUACAACUCAUCCAGCUCUCAGAUGCUUUGAGAAAUUCAGAGGAUAUAUGACAAUAACUGUAAACUAGUGGAGAAGAAAUAGAAAAAAAGAAGGGUACACAGACAAGAUUUGAACAUGGAUAGUUAUUGCUCCGAUCUUCGAUAAAACCAUUUGAAAAUGGACAGAGUGUAAA
This 509-nucleotide long non-coding RNA is filed under the name Homo sapiens (human). RNAcentral's name for it is "HSALNT0056765". The record is from RNAcentral. Lineage: Eukaryota; Metazoa; Chordata; Mammalia; Primates; Hominidae.